RNAcentral lists this ribosomal RNA (510 nucleotides) under uncultured bacterium. RNAcentral describes it as "partial 16S ribosomal RNA". It matches the Rfam family "Bacterial small subunit ribosomal RNA", at positions 28 to 507 of the family's 1533-position model. The record is from RNAcentral.
GACGAACGCUGGCGGCGUGCUUAACACAUGCAAGUCGAACGAAGAGCGAUGGAAGCUUGCUUCUAUCAAUCUUAGUGGCGAACGGGUGAGUAACGCGUAAUCAACCCGUCCUUCAGAGGGGGACCACAGUUGGAAACGACUGCUAAUACCACAUACGAUCUAAUCUCGGCAUAGAGGAUAGAUGAAAGGUGGCCUCUACAUGUAAGCUAUCACUGCAGGAGGGGAUUGCGUCUGAUUAGCUAGUUGGCGGGGUAACGGCCCACCAAGGCGAUGAUCAGUAGCCGGUCUGAGAGGAUGAACGGCCACAUUGGGACUGAGACACGGCCCAGACUCCUACGGGAGGCAGCAGUAGGGAAUCUUCCGCAAUGGACGAAAGUCUGACGGAGCAACGCCGCGUGAGUGAUGACGGCCUUCGGGUUGUAAAGCUCUGUUAUUCGGGACGAAAGGCCUUCUUGCUAAUAGUGAGAAGGAUUGACGGUACCGGAAUAGAAAGCCACGGCUAACUACGUG